Molecule: ribosomal RNA, 528 nt
Filed under: Cronobacter sakazakii
Lineage: Bacteria; Pseudomonadati; Pseudomonadota; Gammaproteobacteria; Enterobacterales; Enterobacteriaceae
Description: bacterial SSU rRNA
Rfam family: Bacterial small subunit ribosomal RNA
Source: RNAcentral
UGGAGAGUUUGAUCCUGGCUCAGAUUGAACGCUGGCGGCAGGCCUAACACAUGCAAGUCGAACGGUAACAGGGAGCAGCUUGCUGCUCUGCUGACGAGUGGCGGACGGGUGAGUAAUGUCUGGGAAACUGCCUGAUGGAGGGGGAUAACUACUGGAAACGGUAGCUAAUACCGCAUAACGUCUUCGGACCAAAGUGGGGGACCUUCGGGCCUCAUGCCAUCAGAUGUGCCCAGAUGGGAUUAGCUAGUAGGUGGGGUAACGGCUCACCUAGGCGACGAUCCCUAGCUGGUCUGAGAGGAUGACCAGCCACACUGGAACUGAGACACGGUCCAGACUCCUACGGGAGGCAGCAGUGGGGAAUAUUGCACAAUGGGCGCAAGCCUGAUGCAGCCAUGCCGCGUGUAUGAAGAAGGCCUUCGGGUUGUAAAGUACUUUCAGCGGGGAGGAAGGSRKUGWGGUUAAUAACCRYAKCSAUUGACGUUACCCGCAGAAGAAGCACCGGCUAACUCCGUGCCAGCAGCCGCGGUA